GCAAUAGAUUCCAUACCUGUCCCAGUUUUGUUUAUACCAACCCUAUGUUCUCUAACACUGAUAUAACUCAGCUAAACAUGGCACACUUCAAAUUCCACAGAUGUGUGUUGAAAGAAAUUGAGCCAUAUAACGUAUAUAGCAUGAAAUAAAUCUGCUGUUCGCCAAGGUUUCUAUUUAAGAACAAGUUAUUAUGGUAACCCAGUGCCAUAGGACUGUGUUGAUUACAAGGGGGUGUGAGACAUUCUUAGUCUGCCAAGACGCACAGUUAUACUGAUAUCUGAAGGUCAAAAAUGUGUGAAGUGCUGCAGCGUGAUGAAAAGCAAAUAUUAAUCAAACACUACUCUUGUUUUACCAGGGAACAUUACAUAUUUGUGCAUAGCUGACAUUUGUUGCUGAUGAAGGAAUCUACGUGAAGAUAUAAUAACAUACUGAUUGGAAAAAAUAAUUAUUCUGUCCAGAUAUGGCUGAAAGUGAACAUCUAAUGGCAAGAAAUAUCUCUCUCUUCCCAGAGAAACUCUGGAGAGCGCUGCUCACAGUGUGAAGACUAAUUGGCAAGCAUCGCACAGGCAGCUGUACAAAUUACACUUUUUACUUCUUCCAUGUGUACUCAUAUCCACAUAUGGCACAGGGACCUCCCGAUUCCCUCUUUCCAUUAGCCAGAUUUGGUUUGCAAAUAUAAUGUGUUGGCUCUAGUGUUCCAUUGCUUCCUUUUGGUGACAUCUGCCUAAUCAAGACCCAAGUGUAUGCGACUGAUGAUGUGCCCAAGUAGCAGGGAUAAGAUUUGGGAGAUUUUCAAAACAGAGGAAAUAAAUAUAAAUACAACAAUAUAGUUGAAAGUUUAUGCUAAGUCUACAAUACCCCAUGCCCAAGAUUUUUGGUUUAAGUUCUGUUUGCAGUACAUAAUUUGGUUAGGCAGCCCUACAGUACUUCAUAAAAGCCUGCAAGAGAAUUCUAGCACUUGCCACAAAAGCACAGUAGCUUUCCCCACAUUUUAGCCUUUGGUCUUCCUUCACUUGAAAUCCUUUGACUGAAUUAAUCAGUAAUCCUAAUAAAUAUAUUUUUUAUCUCAAUCAAUGUACAGCAACACACACACAAGAUAACACACAGUGGCUUAUUUCAUACUUACACAUUUAGGGGCCUAUUUAUUAUGCUGUGUAAAAAAAAUUUGCUCAAAAAACAGUGUAAAAAGUUGCAUAAAAUAAAUGGUGAAUUUUGCCAUUCGAACGCCAAGUUUGACACUGUUAUUUUCUAUAAGUUCCGGUGGAAAAAAAAAUGCACUUAAUAUGUAACUGUAGCUAACAGUAAGAUGAUCAGAAUUUAAAACCAUUCCAAUAAUAAUAGUAAUUAUAACAACUCAUUGUAGUUUGAAAUGAAAAUCCAGACUUAAUUUCUUCCUGCCAUCCUCAUUUUUAUCGUGUCCAUCGUAUAUCAAUAUUUCAUGCUUUUUCAGCUCAUAUUGCUUAUUCCCCUUAGCUCUUCUAUAUUACCUAUUGCCCCCUGUGUCCUUCUCUCAUGUUGUUUAUGGCCCCUGCUGACCCUCCCUGCUGUUUUUGUCUGCUGUCUGUCUUUUGCUACUAUGUGCCAUAGUUUCCCCAGCUCAUUUCCAGUUCUCCCCUGAUAAUAGAUUUUCAUUUUACCUAUUAAGUGGACCAACUGGUGAUCUUUGUGUGCCCUUAACAGAAUUUCCUUAGAAACUCUAAGCCUUUCAUUGUUUAUGCCUCCCCUGUUGUUAUAGUUGAUUGAUUUUCUUACUCUGUCAGAAAAGAACAUUCAGCAGUGUUCCAUCCAACACAUUUAAAUAUAACUAUAUUGUACAGUAAUAAUGUGUAAAACCUUACAGGGAUAGUAAAUUUUUAUAAACAUUUAUAGAUGAUUCGAGUCUGCUCAGCAUCUACAACCAAACAUGAUCUUUUUGUUUAGGAAUCUAUUUCAUCCUA
Long non-coding RNA from Xenopus tropicalis (tropical clawed frog), 1937 nucleotides. RefSeq lists it as uncharacterized. Lineage: Eukaryota; Metazoa; Chordata; Amphibia; Anura; Pipidae. The transcript is spliced from 2 exons. The record is from RefSeq and is a predicted model, not a curated record.